AUACAGAGGGUGCAAGCGUUAAUCGGAAUUACUGGGCGUAAAGCGCACGCAGGCGGUUGGUUAAGUCAGAUGUGAAAGCCCCGGGCUCAACCUGGGAAUUGCAUUUGAAACUGGCCAACUAGAGUACGUGAGAGGGGGGUAGAAUUCCAAGUGUAGCGGUGAAAUGCGUAGAGAUUUGGAGGAAUACCAGUGGCGAAGGCGGCCCCCUGGCACGAUACUGACGCUCAGGUGCGAAAGCGUGGGGAGCAAACAGGAUUAGAAACCCUAGUAGUCC
Molecule: ribosomal RNA, 274 nt
Filed under: uncultured bacterium
Lineage: Bacteria
Description: partial 16S ribosomal RNA
Rfam family: Bacterial small subunit ribosomal RNA
Source: RNAcentral